RNAcentral lists this unclassified non-coding RNA (343 nucleotides) under soil metagenome. RNAcentral describes it as "partial contains 5.8S ribosomal RNA, internal transcribed spacer 2, and large subunit ribosomal RNA". The stretch from base 1 to 120 matches the Rfam family "5.8S ribosomal RNA", at positions 35 to 154 of the family's 154-position model. The record is from RNAcentral.
GAUGAAGAACGCAGCGAAAUGCGAUAAGUAAUGUGAAUUGCAGAAUUCAGUGAAUCAUCGAAUCUUUGAACGCACAUUGCGCCCGCUAGUAUUCUGGCGGGCAUGCCUGUCCGAGCGUCAUUUCAACCCUCAAGCCCCCGGGCUUGGUGUUGGGGAUCGGCGAGCCUCCGCGCCCGCCGUCCCCUAAAUCUAGUGGCGGUCUCGCUGUAGCUUCCUCUGCGUAGUAGCACACCUCGCACUGGGAAACAGCGCGGCCACGCCGUUAAACCCCCAACUUCUGAACGUUUGACCUCGGAUCAGGUAGGAAUACCCGCUGAACUUAAGCAUAUCUAUAAGCGGAGGA